UAUGUAUACAUAAAAAGCAAAAAUGAAAAUUUGGUAUCAAGAACAUGAAAUCCUUCCAAAUGACGGUAUCGAACUAGCCAAAAUGUGUUGGCCAAGAUAUCGAGCGGUUCCCAGAAUUCAUAAUUUAAACACAAAGUGAUGCAGCGAAAGAAGUUAUUUCCUAACAAGAAAGUAGUUUGGCUAUCAAUAACCUCCUGACAUUCGGAAACAAUUGCCAUGUAGGGCACUGGCCAUUCAUGACCACAAAAAGGCCAAACACACAUCCUCGGGUGGUCCGCAAAAAGUUCGCAUCGAGGUAAUUGGCAGGACAACCAGUGCCACUUUCCAAGCAGCAUCUCUAUCUCCCCUGCCCACCCAGAGCGCCCGGAGUGAGAAAUUGGAAUGUCUUUUGUGCCACUAAUAGAGAAAUAUACGGGCCAUAAUUUCGCAAUGCUACAAUA
Molecule: long non-coding RNA, 440 nt
Organism: Drosophila gunungcola (fruit fly)
Lineage: Eukaryota; Metazoa; Arthropoda; Insecta; Diptera; Drosophilidae
Exons: 2
Source: RefSeq, a predicted model, not a curated record